AUACUUACCUGGCAAGGGAUACACCCGUGAUCACCAAGGGCGGUUCACCCAGGGUGAGGCUCGGCCAUUGCACUCCGGCUGUGCUGACCCUGCGAAUUCCCAAAUGUGGAAAUCUCGAUUGCAUAAUUUCUGGUAGUGGGGGACUAGCGUUCGCGCUCUCCCUGA
RNAcentral lists this small nuclear RNA (165 nucleotides) under Esox lucius (northern pike). RNAcentral describes it as "U1 spliceosomal RNA". It matches the Rfam family "U1 spliceosomal RNA". Rfam says of the family: U1 is a small nuclear RNA (snRNA) component of the spliceosome (involved in pre-mRNA splicing). The record is from Rfam by way of RNAcentral. Lineage: Eukaryota; Metazoa; Chordata; Actinopteri; Esociformes; Esocidae.